AGUGAACGCUGGCGGUAGGCCUAACACAUGCAAGUCGAACGGCAGCACAGUAAGAGCUUGCUCUUACGGGUGGCGAGUGGCGGACGGGUGAGGAAUACAUCGGAAUCUACUUUUUCGUGGGGGAUAACGUAGGGAAACUUACGCUAAUACCGCAUACGACCUACGGGUGAAAGCAGGGGAUCUUCGGACCUUGCGCGAUUGAAUGAGCCGAUGUCGGAUUAGCUAGUUGGCGGGGUAAAGGCCCACCAAGGCGACGAUCCGUAGCUGGUCUGAGAGGAUGAUCAGCCACACUGGAACUGAGACACGGUCCAGACUCCUACGGGAGGCAGCAGUGGGGAAUAUUGGACAAUGGGCGCAAGCCUGAUCCAGCCAUACCGCGUGGGUGAAGAAGGCCUUCGGGCUGUAAAACCCUUUUGUUGGGAAAGAAAAGCAGCAGGUUAAUACCCCGCUGUUCUGACGGUACCCAAAGGAUAAGCACCGGCUAACUUCGUG
RNAcentral lists this ribosomal RNA (492 nucleotides) under uncultured bacterium. RNAcentral describes it as "partial 16S ribosomal RNA". It matches the Rfam family "Bacterial small subunit ribosomal RNA", at positions 29 to 507 of the family's 1533-position model. The record is from RNAcentral.